This 65-nucleotide transfer RNA is filed under the name Mnais pruinosa. RNAcentral's name for it is "tRNA-Arg". RNAcentral also lists the same sequence under 1 other name. The record is from RNAcentral. Lineage: Eukaryota; Metazoa; Arthropoda; Insecta; Odonata; Calopterygidae.
GAAUGGAAAGUGAAAAAUUCACACUCAGUUUCGACCUGAAAUUUGGCAUCGUGUGCCUCCAUUCA